UAUGGCGACCGGCGCACGGGUGAGUAACACGUAUCCAACCUGCCGAUGACUCGGGGAUAGCCUUUCGAAAGAAAGAUUAAUACCCGAUGGCAUAGUUCUUCUGCAUGGUAGAACUAUUAAAGAAUUUCGGUCAUCGAUGGGGAUGCGUUCCAUUAGGUUGUUGGCGGGGUAACGGCCCACCAAGCCUUCGAUGGAUAGGGGUUCUGAGAGGAAGGUCCCCCACAUUGGAACUGAGACACGGUCCAA
RNAcentral lists this ribosomal RNA (246 nucleotides) under uncultured bacterium. RNAcentral's name for it is "partial 16S ribosomal RNA". It matches the Rfam family "Bacterial small subunit ribosomal RNA", at positions 87 to 334 of the family's 1533-position model. The record is from RNAcentral.